AUGGAGUCCGGCUGGGACAGCUCCCAACGCGUCCUGAUGUGGAUGAUGGACUGGACGAUGGCCUCACACUCCUGGUGCAUGAAGAUAUCGCGGAAGGAGAUCAGUGUGCCUUGUAAGGAUCCGGCGACGAGUGGCUAAAAACUCCCCCCCCCCCAAAUCGGUACUAUUGGCCAACGUACAAUCGCUGGAUAAUAAAGUGGACGAACACGUAUAUCCUACCAAUGGGACAUUAAAAAACGAACAUCUUAUGUUUCACCAAGUCGUGGCUGAACGACUACAUGAAUAACAUACAGCUGGUGGGUUACACACUGUAUCGGACAAUCAGAACAGCAGCCUAUGGUAAGACAAGGGGUGGCGGUCUAUGUAUAUUUGUAAACAACAGCUGGUGCACGAUAUCUAAGGACGUCUCGAGGUUUUGAUCGCAUGAGGUAGAGUAUCUCAUGAUAAUCUGCAGACCACACUAUCUACCAAGAGAGUUUCCAUCUAUAUUCUUUGUAGCUGUCUAUUUACCACCACAAACCGAUACUGGCACCAAGACUGCACUCAAUGAGUUGUAUACAGCCAUAAACAAACAGGAAAAUGCUCAUCCAUAGGCGGCGCUCCAUGUGUCCGGGGACUUUAAUUAAAAGGAAACUUAAAUCCGUUUUACCUCAUUUCUACCACCAUGUUAAAUGUGCAACCAGAGGGGGAAAAACUUUAGACCACCUUUACUCCACACACAGAGCAGUACAAAGCUCUCCCUCACCCUCCAUCCUCCUCGGUCAAUAAAAAAAAAGUGGUCAGAUGAAGCAGAUGCUAAGCUACAGGACUGUUUUGCAAGCACAAACUGGAAUAGGUUCUGGGAUUCUUCCAAUGCCAUUGAGUACACAACAUCAGUCACUAGCUUUGUCAAUAAGUGCAUCGUCGUCCCCAAAGUGACUGUACGUACAUACCCCAACCAGAAGCCAUGGAUUACAGGCAACAUCCACACUGAGAUAUAGGGCAGAGCUGCCGCUUUCAAGGAGCGGGACUCUAACCCGGAAGCUUAUAAGAAACCCCGCUAUGCCCUCCGACGAACCAGCCAACAGGCAAAGCACCAAUACAGGACUAAGAUCGAAUCGUACCACACCGGCUCCGAUGCUCGUCGAGUGUGGCAGGGCUUGUAAACUAUUACAGAGUACAAACAGAAGUACAGCCGCGAGCUGCUCAGUGACACGAGCCUACCAGAUGAGCUCAAUUACUUCUAUGCUCGCUUCGAGGCAAGUAACGCUGAAACAUGCAUGAGAGCAUCAGACUGUGUGAUCACGCUCUCCGUAGCCGACGCGAGUAAGACCUUCAAAUAGGUCAACAUUCACAAGGCCGCAGGACCAGACGGACUACCAGGACGUGUACCCCGAGCAUGCACUGACCAACUUGCAAGUGUCUUCACUGACAUUUUCAACCUCUCCCUAUCUGAGUCUGUAAUACCAACACCAAGGUAACCUGCCGAAAUGACUACCAACUCGAAGCACUCACGUCUGUAGCCAUGAAGUGCUUUGAAAGGCUGGUCAUGGCUCACAUCAACACCAUUAUCACAGAAUCCCUAGACCCACUCCAAUUUGCAUACCGCCCCAACGGAUCAUGCCAUCUCUAUUGCACUCCACACUGACCUCUCCCACCUUGACAAAAGGAACACCUAUGUGAGAACGCUAUUCAUUGACUACAGCUCAGCAUUCAACACCAUAGUGCCCUCAAAGCUCAUCACUAAGCUAAGGACCCUGGUACUAAACACCUCCCUCUGCAACUGGAUCCUGGAUUUCCUGACAGGCCGCCCCCAGGUGGUAAGGAUAGGUAACAACACAUCCGCCAUGCUGAUCCACAACACAGGGGCCACUCAGGGGUGCAUGCUCAGUCCCCUCCUGUACUCCCUGUUCACCCAAGACUGCGUGGCCAGGCACGACUCCAACACCAUCAUUCAGUUUGCAGACGACACAACAGUGGUAGGCCUGAUCACCGACAAUGACGAGACAGCCUUUAGGGAGGUCAGAGACCUGACCGUGUGGAGCCAGGACAACAACCUCUCCCUCAACGUGAUCGAGACAAAGGAGAUGAAUGUGGACUACAGGAAAAAGUGAACCAAACACACCCCCAUUCACAUCAACAGGGCUGUAGCAAAGCAGGUUGAGAGUUAAGUUCCUUGUUGUCCACAUCACAAACAAACAUCCAAGCACACCAAGACAGUCGUGAAGAGGGCACGACAAAACCUAUUCCAUCUCAGGAGACUGAAAAUAUUUGGAAUGAGUCCUCAUAUCCUCAAAAGGUUCUACAGCUGCAACAUCGAGAGCAUCUUGACUGGUAUGGCAACUACUCGGCCUCCAACCGCAAGGCACUACAAAGGGUAGUGCGUACCUCCCAGUACAUCACAGGGGCCAAGCGUCCUGCCAUCCAGGACUUCUAUACCAGGCGGUGUCAGAGGAAGGCCAUAAAGAUUGUCAAAGGCUCCAGCCACCCUAGUCAUUAACGGUUCUGCACAGCAAGCGGCACCGGAGGGCCAAGUCUAGGUCCAAGAGGCUUCUAAAAAACAGCUUCUACCCCCAAGCCAUAAGACUCCUGAACAUCUAAUCAAAUGGCUACCCAGACUAUUUGCAUUGCCCCCACCUCUUUUACAGUGCUGCUACUCUGUUUAUUAUCUAUGCAUAGUCACUUUAAUAACUCUACCUACAUGUACAGUUGAAGUCAAAAGUUCACAUACACCUUAGCCAAAUUCAUUUAAACUCAGUUUUUCACAAUUCCUGACAUUUAAUCCUUGUAAAUGUUAUCUUUCUUAGGUCAGUUAGGAUCACCACUUUCUUUUAAGAAUGUGAAAUGUCAGAAUAAUAGUAGAGAGAAUUAUUUAUUUCAGCUUUUAUUCAUUUCAUCACAUUCCCAGUGAGCAGAAGUUUACAUACACUCAAUUAGUAUUUGGUAGCAUUGCCUUUAAAUUGUUUAACUAGAGUCAAACGUUUCGGGUAGCCUUCCACAAGCUUCCCACAAUAAAUUGGGUGAAUUUUGGCCAAUUUCCCCCUGACAGAGCUGGUGUCACGGAGUCAGGUUUGUAGGCCUCCUUCCUCGCACACGCAUUUUCAGUUCUGCCCACAAAUUGUUUAUAGGAUUGAGGUCAGGGCUUUGUGAUGGCCACUCCAAUACCUUGACUUUGUUGUCCUUAAGCCAUUUUGGCACAACUUUUGAAGUAUGCUUGGGGUUAUUGUCCAUUUGGAAAACCCAUUUGUGACCAAGCUUUAACUUCCUGAAUGAUGUCUUGAGAUGUUGCUUCAAUAUAUCCACUUAAAUAUUCCUGCCUCAUGAUGCUGAUUUAGUUUGUGAAGGGCACCAGUCCCUCUUGCAGCAAAGCACCCCCACAACAUGAUGCUGCCACCCCCGUGCUUCACGGUUGGGAUGGUGUUCUUUGGCUUGCAAGCCUCCCCCUUUUUCCUCCAAACAUAACGAUGGUCAUUAUGGCUAAACAGUUCUAUUUUUAUUUCAUCAGACCAAAGGACAUUUCUCCAAAAAGUAACAUUUUUGUCCCACUGUGCAGUUGCAAACCGUAGUCUGGCUUUUUUUUUUAAUGGCGGUUUUGGAGCAGUGGCUUCUUCCUUGCUGAGCGGCCUUUCAGGUUAUGUCGAUAUAGGACUCGUUUUACUGUGGAUAUAGAUACUUUUGUACCCGUUUCCUCCAGCAUCUUCACAAGGUCCUUUGCUGUUGUUCUGGGAUUGAUUUGCACUUUUCGCACCAAAGUACGUUCAUCUCUAGGAGACAGAACGCGUAUCCUUCCUGAGUGGUAUGACGGCUGCGUGGUCCCAUGGUGUUUAUACUUGCGUACUACUGUUUGAACAGAUGAACGUGGUAUCUUCAGGUGUUUGGAAAUGGCUCCCAAGGAUGAACCAGACUUGUGGGUGCCUAGAAUGUCUUGGCUGAUUUCUUUUGAUUUUCCCAUGAUGUCAAGCAAAGAGGCACUAAGUUUGAAGGUAGGCCUUGAAAUACAUCCACAGGUACACCUCCAAUUGACUCAAAUGAUGUCAAUUAGCCUAUCAAAAGCUUCUGAAGCCAUGACAUCAUUUCUGGAGUGGUUGAAAAGCGAGUUUUAAUGACUCCAACAUAAGUGUAUGUAAACUUCCGACUGUACAUAUUACCUCAAUUACCUCGACUAACUGGUGCUCCCUCACAUUGUACCAGUACCCCCUGUAUAUAGCCUUGCUAUUGUUAUUUUACUGCUGCUCUUUGUUACUUUUAUUUAUUUUCUUUUUAGGUAUUUUUCUUAAAAUUACAUUGUUGGUUUAUGGGCUUGUAAGUAAGCAUUUCACUAAGGUCUACAUGUUGUAUUUGGCGCAUGUGACAAAUACAAUUUGAUUAGUAAUUAUAACAAACACUUCUCGUCUCCAAGACAACAACAUGUUUCCACUCCUCUCAACAGCCCACCUGUUGUAGGGUGUUAACCAUAGUGCUUUCUCUCUGGCUUCUGUGUGACCAAGCUAAUCAUCACACACACACACAAACUGAUAUACAGGUAACUUCCAAAAUAAAGGAAACACUAACAUAAAUCAUCUUAAUAGGGCAUUGGGCCAGAAAAGCUCCAAUGCACCUUGGUAAAGUUGGCAUAGAUUCUACAAGUGUCUGGAACUCUAUUGGAGGGAUGCGACGCCAUUCUUCCACGAGAAAUUCCAUAAUUUGGUGUUUUGUAGAUGGUGGUGGAAAACACUGUCUCAGUCACGGCUCCAGAAUAUCCCAUAAGUGUUCAAUAGGGUUGAGAUCUGGUGACUGAGACAGCCAUGCCAUAUGGUUUACAUAAUUUUCAUGCUCAUCAAACCAUUCAGUGACCACUCGUGCCCUGUGGAUGGGGACAUAGCCAUGGUAGCCAAAAUAAUGGGAAAGAUAAUGGCCUGCCCAGCAUUUUUAUACAUGACCCUAAGCAUGAUGGGGGUGUUAAUUGCUUAAUUAAAUCAGGAAGCACACCUGUGUAGAUUCAAGUGCUUUCAAUAUACUUUGUAUCCUUCGUUUACUCAAGUGUUUCCGUUAUUUUGGAAGUUACAGUUAGCUUCAAAUAAAGCAGCAAAGGAGAAGUAAGAGCGGUACAGGAAACAUAUCAUUACUGUGCGAGCGUGACAAAGGCUUGAAUGCUUCUCACACCCCUUUUUUCCCCCCCAGACAUUUCUCUUCUAUAAAAUUGCUCACAGAUACAGGUGUUAAAAAAAAAAAAUCUUGCCUGGCUUCUCCUGUGUUACGAAGUACCACAAACAAACUUGUCAACUCCGUCAAGAAAUAUGAAUGGCUCCCAGGUCUGCCUCUUGCUGUACAGUGUAGUACUAAUGGGAUAUGGGGCUAACCCUGACACAACCAUGGGACCAUCUGUAACUACAGGUUUAACCACAGCAACAAAUCAAACCUCAACACACUCCACUAGGGCAACAUCUGGAACCAACAUCCCAGCAACCACCAACACACCAUCCAGAGCCUACACUAAGGCCCAUCCCAAUCCCUGUGCCGACUGUCUGCUUAAGGAGAUGGAUGCCACCAUCCUGCUGAUAGUGACGGGUUGCCUGGUGGUCCUGUGUACCAUCCUGCUGGUCUCCACCGUGGUGCUGUUAUACCAGGUGUUCCACCUGAAGCACCAGCUAUGUAGCAGAACCAUCAGCAGCCGCCCCACCCGCAGCAACGUAGACCUGGUGAGUGGUUCUGGGCACUGGGGCACUGGGCAGAAGACCAAGGAGAGGCCUGGCUCUGAGCCCAGUGAGACCAGCCUGAUGAUGCCAGAGCUCAGACAGACGCAGGAUGGGGAGAGGGGCAAGGAAGAGGAGCCAGAGAAGGAAGUCAAGGAGCAAGGGAAAGAUGAGACGGCGAAAGCCACGCCCAAGAAGAAAGAGGAGGCAGCCACAGCUAACGUCCGGAAGUGCUGAAAAUGGAGCGUCGACCCCCAGCCAGGAGAGCCCAGUCACCAACAACCAGCCUGCAGAGCCCUCUGACCCCGCAGCCACAACAGCCUCUCCUUCCUCCCAGCCCUCCAGUGAUGUGGUGGUGGGGUGAGUGGCGCACUCAUGGUGACCUUCUCAGACCGCAUACUGAUUGGUACAGCACAGUUUUAUACAACAGCUUCUAUUGACAUGCCCUAAAGAGACCAUCUGCUUUCGCACUGACAGGUGUUUGUGUAGACAAAUAGAGUGAUUUUUCAAUACCACAGUAGCUUUAUACACCAUGUUUGCAUUCUCAUUCAAAACUUAUGAAAUAAUUACUGUUAUGAUAAUGUAAUACACAUUCAUGUACAAGAAGAAGUUGACUAUAAUGUGAAUGUUUGAUAUUUGUAUUAAUUUGUAUUUGUGCAAAACAAAAAUACAUAUUUGUUCAAAUGUAGAGCAUUCCUCAGUGUCACUGAUCAGAGGACUUGUAUUUUGUCUAGUGGAUAUAUCCCAGCUUGCUUGUUGUCACAUUUCAUCUCCCAUUUCCCUCACUUCUUUUUUAGACAUUCUAAAUGCAAUAGAAAUGCUGUUAAUAUUACAAAAGCAGAAACAACCACCACCACCAGCACUGAACUGUAGUAUCAGGUCAAGUAAAGAGACUGCAUUAAGAGGAUUUUAAGCAACAAAGCUCUUCCAGAAACACUCACAAUGUAUUACUACAAUUCAACAUCACUUUCUUGGUCUUUUCUCUACAGUAAAGAAGAAUUCACAUGUUUCUACUCUAGCUCCAUCUAUCCUUUGUAUACAACAAUAAAGCAUUACGACACCUUG
This is an RNA transcript of Salvelinus fontinalis (brook trout), 6716 nucleotides long. RefSeq lists it as uncharacterized. The transcript has 3 exons. The record is from RefSeq and is a predicted model, not a curated record. NCBI's taxonomy places the organism in Eukaryota, Metazoa, Chordata, Actinopteri, Salmoniformes, Salmonidae.